AUAUGUGAGGAUAGCAGCUUGAGGGCUCCAGAGAGAGUAUCAGAUCCCCAGAGCUGGAGUUAUGGACAAUCGUGAGCCACCAUCUGGGUGCCAGGAAUCAAACUUGGGUAUUCUCCAAGAGAAACAAUUCCUCCUAACUAACACGGAGCCAUCUCUUCAGCCCCUUAAGGGCUUGUUCCUAGUCUAUGUGCAAUACCCAAAUUUUGAAGGGACGUAUUCAGUUGUUACUCAGCUUCAGAGGAGGGGAAUUAGCAAAAGAGAACUUAUCUUCAUCUGUCAGAAUACGGGGUAGUUACCCCACUUCUGGUCAUAAGGACAAAGAAAAUGGCAGACACACUGUCAGGGUUACAGCUUCCGUCUUUGACUGCAGCCUGUUGAUGUGCGUGAGGAGCAGGGUUUGCAACCAGGAUAAGAAAAUGAGUUGGAGGACCACAGCAAAGUCAGGUUCAGAUGUGUUUGGUUCAAGCCUGCAGGUGAGUGAUUCCUUUGUGUGUUGUGUGUGGUUUUGUGCUGACAUCAAGACCCCACUAUAACUUAAGUUUUGUUCCUUUAUUUUCCGUAACUUUACUCGCACAGGUCAAAUUUGUUGGGGCAUAAAGGUGAAGUGGCAGAAGAAUUUGGUAUAAUCAUGAAGGCACUGUGGACAGGACAGUAUAGAUACAUCAGUCCAAAAGACUUUAAAGUCACCAUUGGUAAGAUUAAUGACCAGUUUGCAGGAUCCAGCCAGCAAGAUUCACAAGAGCUGCUGCUUUUCCUCAUGGAUGGCCUCCACGAGGAUCU
This 780-nucleotide long non-coding RNA is filed under the name Rattus norvegicus (Norway rat). RNAcentral describes it as "long non-coding RNA NONRATT018564". The record is from RNAcentral. Lineage: Eukaryota; Metazoa; Chordata; Mammalia; Rodentia; Muridae.